GCGGUGCUCUGUUUCUUCUUUUUUUUGAUUCUGCAGAUGCACAUAGAACUCAUUUUAAUAGAUUCUGAGAGUAACCAGGAAAGCAUGAAAAACAGAAAAUCCGAAGAAUGUCACCAGCUUCCACCGCCGCAUUUCCAGCCCUGUAGAGACUUAAUUCUCCAGGCUUUCCACUGCGCCCCAAGAAACUGCUAUUCAACAUCCGGAUUUUAGCUCCAAAACUGUCCAGCUGUCAGGUGGGACAAUUUCCUAGCUGGAUUUUAAGUAUAGAACAGAGGGAAAUUAUAUUUUGGCGCUGGAGAAGAAAUGUGAGUUUGUACAGAUUUUUAGCUCCUGAAAGCAAGAUGCCAUAUCUUAUUCAUACCUGCGUCUCCCAGAGCAACUAGCUCAGUUCCUUGUUCAUAGAAGAUACUCAAUGGGUACUGAGUUGAAACUGAAUAAAAGUUGCUUCUACUGUAACUUAGAUGUUGGCUGUGAAACUCAGUGAGAGGAACAAAGCAAGACAAAGCUCAGUAAGUAUAUACUGGCUUAUUUAUUCAUUCUACAAAUUCUUAGU
Diceros bicornis minor is the source of this 553-nucleotide long non-coding RNA. RefSeq lists it as uncharacterized. The transcript has 4 exons. NCBI's taxonomy places the organism in Eukaryota, Metazoa, Chordata, Mammalia, Perissodactyla, Rhinocerotidae. The record is from RefSeq and is a predicted model, not a curated record.